CUCUUGUUCCCCCGGUGUCAGCCUCUCGGUCUGGUGGGAAUACGAGCCCAGCGUGUACGGAUUGGAGCACCACCGGGAUACACGGAUCGCCUUCAGCCGCGGGAGGUCUGCGCGUCCCAUAAACUGCUUCAAAAUCUUCACACAUGUGUUCCCAAUCUCCUCGUCACUCAGAUCUUCCAUAUAUUCCGCACCUUCCCCAGCAACCCAACCAAGAAUGGUGUUGUCCUUCGUAAAUACUUGGUCAAACCCAAAUAUUCUUUUGAACCAAGCACUUUUGUCUUGCUUUACAUCCGUGU
Dreissena polymorpha is the source of this 296-nucleotide long non-coding RNA. RefSeq lists it as uncharacterized. The transcript has 2 exons. The record is from RefSeq and is a predicted model, not a curated record. Lineage: Eukaryota; Metazoa; Mollusca; Bivalvia; Myida; Dreissenidae.